This 252-nucleotide ribosomal RNA is filed under the name uncultured bacterium. RNAcentral describes it as "partial 16S ribosomal RNA". It matches the Rfam family "Bacterial small subunit ribosomal RNA", at positions 524 to 776 of the family's 1533-position model. The record is from RNAcentral.
UACGGAGGAUGCGAGCGUUAUCCGGAUUUAUUAGGUUUAAAGGGUGCGUAGGCGGUCCGUUAAGUCAGCGGUAAAAUUGCGGGGCUCAACCCCGUCGAGCCAUUGAAACUGGCAGACUUGAGUUGGCGAGAAGUACGCGGAAUGCGCGGUGUAGCGGUGAAAUGCAUAGAUAUCGCGCAGAACUCCGAUUGCGAAGGCAGCGUACCGGCGCCAGACUGACGCUGAGGCACGAAAGCGUGGGGAUCGAACAGG